GUCACUGCUAUCGGGGUUCGAUUAAGCCAUGCGAGUCGAGAGGGUUCGGCCCUCGGCGUACUGCUCAGUAACACGUGGAUAACCUGCCCUAAGGAAGGGGAUAACCCCGGGAAACUGGGGAUAAUACCCUAUAGGUUACAGAUGCUGGAAUGCUCUGUAACUCAAAGUUCCGGCGCCUUAGGAUGGAUCUGCGGCCGAUUAGGUUGUUGUUGGGGUAAUGGCCCAACAAGCCCGUAAUCGGUACGGGUUGUGGGAGCAAGAGCCCGGAGUUGGAUUCUGAGACACGAAUCCAGGCCCUACGGGGCGCAGCAGGCGCGAAAACUUUACAAUGCGGGCAACCGUGAUAAGGGAACCUCGAGUGCCUGUAUAUGCAGGCUGUCCAGGUGUCUAAAUAACACCUGAAGAAAGGGCCGGGCAAGACCGGUGCCAGCCGCCGCGGUAAUACCGGCGGCUCGAGUGGUGGCCGCUUUUAUUGGGCCUAAAGCGUUCGUAGCUGGGUUAUUAAGUCUCUUGGGAAAUCCGGCGGCUCAACCGUCGGGCGUCUAAGGGAUACUGGUAAUCUUGGAACCGGGAGAGGUGAGGGGUACUUCGGGGGUAGGAGUGAAAUCCUGUAAUCCUCGAGGGACCACCUGUGGCGAAGGCGCCUCACCAGAACGGCUUCGACAGUGAGGGACGAAAGCUGGGGGAGCAAACCGGAUUAGAUACCCGGGUAGUCCCAGCCGUAAACUAUGUGCGUUAGGUGUAUCGACGACCACGAGUCGUCGAGGUGCCGAAGGGAAACCGUGAAACGUACCGCCUGGGAAGUACGGUCGCAAGGCUGAAACUUAAAGGAAUUGGCGGGGGAGCACCACAACAGGUGGAGCCCGCGGUUUAAUUGGACUCAACGCCGGGAAUCUCACCGGAUAAGACAGCGGAAUGAUUGCCGGGCUGAAGACUCUGCAUGACUAGCUGAGAGGAGGUGCAUGGCCGUCGUCAGUUCGUACUGUGAAGCAUCCUGUUAAGUCAGG
This 1007-nucleotide ribosomal RNA is filed under the name uncultured archaeon. RNAcentral's name for it is "bacterial SSU rRNA". It matches the Rfam family "Archaeal small subunit ribosomal RNA", at positions 23 to 1038 of the family's 1478-position model. The record is from RNAcentral.